ACACACGGAGACAUCAUCAUGACUGAAUGAAGAUGAAGGUGGUUCUUCAUCUCCGAGUCAAAACAAACAGCCCUGAGAGAUCAGAUUACUUUAGAGCUCAGAGUUUGUGUUGUGAUGUCAGCAGUUUGUGUUGUGAUGUCAUCAGUUUGUGUCUCACCUGACAGUACGAAGAGGACAACGAUGAAGAUCUGAGGCGUUCGACGGCAGCGAGGCGAGACGGCGGCCAUCCUAGUCGGAGAUCAGUCAGAUAAUGAGUCGUGCUGCCACCUGCUGGUACUCACUGGAGGAUUAGACUCACUCUGUGUAAUGGAACAAGGAAAUAUUAAGUGAUCCAGAUGAUCAGCUGUGUGUGCUGCUCCAGUCUGUCUUGAAGCAGCAGUGAUGUUCGCUGUGUGACAUGAUGCUUCAUGAUGUGCUGCUCAUAUCGAUGGACGAGGUAAUCAACAAUCAGACUCUAGUAAAACUAAGUCAGUUUAAAAAAAACUUCUCAAGUCAGAGUGAGAAUCAUUCUGCGGUAACGGGUUUCAGUGUCUGAGCUGUUCUCAGGAAUCAAAAGUGAAAGCGGUGUAGUCCCUCAUUCGUCCAGGAGUUUUCCAUUGUAGAAAAGGUUUCAGUCGCAGUCAUCUGGACACUGUUUUCAGAAUCAAGACGUUUGGGAGGCCUAA
This is a long non-coding RNA of Siniperca chuatsi (mandarin fish), 665 nucleotides long. RefSeq lists it as uncharacterized. The transcript has 3 exons. Lineage: Eukaryota; Metazoa; Chordata; Actinopteri; Centrarchiformes; Sinipercidae. The record is from RefSeq and is a predicted model, not a curated record.